This 61-nucleotide transfer RNA is filed under the name Auriculastra duplicata. RNAcentral's name for it is "tRNA-Arg". The record is from RNAcentral. Lineage: Eukaryota; Metazoa; Mollusca; Gastropoda; Ellobiida; Ellobiidae.
GCACAGGAAGCGAUACCGCACUAAGUUUCGGCCUUAGCCUUGAACAUUAGUUCCCUGUGUU